CAAGUCAAAGUCCUGCCCUUGAAUGGAGUUCCUGGGUUUCUGAGGAAAUUAUCACUCAGUAUUCUACCAGCAGUGUCUCUGUUAACCUCAAAAAUCAGUGGUAGUUUUGUUGUGACUAAGGUGUGGAGUGGAAGAGAAAGAGAAAGGAAGAGUGAAUUAAACCUAUUAAUAUCCUGUGGAUUUACUAUUCUGCAAACACACUUCAGGAGAUUCUGAUCAGGAGGUUCCGCCACGGGCUGACAAAUCAUUAGGACAGUGUCCCUUAGUGAACAAGAACUUGUACAUGAAGAAAUGGAGAUGAUGCACAUCAUUGGUGUGUUAAUAGGCCAUUGUGGUUUCCUGUCAUUGUGUUUCU
This is a long non-coding RNA of Lontra canadensis (Northern American river otter), 355 nucleotides long. RefSeq lists it as uncharacterized. The transcript is spliced from 3 exons. Lineage: Eukaryota; Metazoa; Chordata; Mammalia; Carnivora; Mustelidae. The record is from RefSeq and is a predicted model, not a curated record.